This 1931-nucleotide long non-coding RNA is filed under the name Strigops habroptila (Kakapo). RNAcentral's name for it is "lncRNA (ENSSHBG00005019720.1)". Lineage: Eukaryota; Metazoa; Chordata; Aves; Psittaciformes; Psittacidae. The record is from RNAcentral.
AUUCUUUCAUUUUAGGAGCUUUUUGGAUGAAUAGAUAUUUUCCCGAGAAAGAAGUCUAAGAUUUAUCAAUGACUUCACUGUGGAUCCCUACAUCUCUCUAUUCUCAAAUGAAGCAACUGGGGAAACUCCCCCAGAAGAAAGUGAUUCGAGAUUCCUGUUGGUUUUCUGAUGAGCCUCACUCCUUUCUACAAGGCAGUCAGGGAAGGAUGGGCACUGGCUACCUUCUCAGCAAAUGUGAGGAUUAUAUGGGUCAUCACGUUACUCCAAUAGACAAAGAAAGAAAGAGGAAGUAGCUGCUUUCAGUACAGAAGAACAUGAAGACUGUGCUGCGUAACAUAUAAAUGCAGAAAAGAUCAAAAAGACUGUUUUAGUUGAAUGUGGCAGUUCUGUCACUGAAUGGUACUGGCCACAUCCAGUCUUGAUUAGUUCAUUUCAUAGUAGAGAGUCGUGAACAAAUGGGUUGAAUAAAAUGCUUCUGGCACUAUGUUCCUUAGAGUUGUAGUCUGACAGAGCUGUGCUGUGUGUUCACCUGGUUUUGUAGUGAGUUCAUGCUCAGCAGCACCUGCUUGGAGAUUCUUCCUGGCAAUCUUGGACACUUUCAUGAUUAGAGAAUUAUUCUACAUCGUUUAAUCUUGGCUAUUUAGAUCUGUUUUCCUAGGGACAAAGACAGCAUGGCAGAAUUUGACUUGCAUAUGAUCUCUUCAAGACCUUUCAGAUGUUUCAAGAUUUGCAACGUUAUUGCCUUUUGAGGUACAAUUUCUCCCUCUCCUUGGAACCAGAGAGUUGGAACGUUAAAGUUUUGGGGUUUUCUUUAAGAUGGUAGGGCACAUUUCAAAUUAUUUAAUAUGAAGUAAAACAUUAUUGCCCUCGCCUAAAGAAGGAAGGCAGUACAAUUAUCCCAGUUUUAUAAGUAAUCAAAUAUACUUAGCUGUCAGAUGAACCCAGCUCGUUUCCAAAAGUGAGGCAAGCAGACUGUGAAAGAGCCAUCUAAAUGCAUACAGUAAGUUCUUCAAGUAUAACUAUCUUUUCCAGUCCUUUAUCUUGAUUCUCUGUGCAGAAACAAUUGACUCCUGGAAUGUAUUAUAUGGAUAUAGCAUGUUCUAUAUAGACAAGGAGAGUUUAAAUGAAUAAAAUAUAAAUGAAGACUGUAUUGCAGAAGAAAUUAAGAAACCUGUUGCUCACCAUCACACAAAGGAGAUAUGAAGAACAGAAUCUAUAAAAAGGCAUAGAUCAUUUAAUGAAAAUGAGAGCGGACAUUGGUAGCGUUCAUUCUUUACUAAUAUCACCCAAAGAAUCUUAUUGUUCCUGAAAGAUUCCUAUAAUGGAGAGAGAAUGAAUAUCAUAGAAUCAUAGAAUGGUUCUGGUUGGAAAGGACCUUAAGAUCAUCUAGUUCCAAUCCCCCUGCCAUGGGCAGGAACACCUGACACUAGAGGCCUGGCCUUGAGUACUGCCAGGGAUGGAGCAUUUGCCACGUCUUUGGACAACCUGUUCCAGUUCCUCACCACGCGCACAGUAAAGAACUCCUUCUUUAUAUCUAACCUGAACCUUUCCCUAUUUAAAUUUAAAUCUUUUACACCUCUUGUCCUAUCGCUACAGUCCCUGAUGAAGAGUCUCUCCAGCAUCCUUGUAGGCCCCCUUCAGAUACUGGAAGGCUGCUAUGAGGUAUCCACUCAGCCUUCUCUUCUCCAGGCUGAACAGCCCCAACUCUCUCAGCCUGUCUUCAUACGGGAGGUGCUCCAGUCCCCUUACCGUCCUUGUGGCCCUCCUCUGGACCUGCUCCCAUAGCUCCAUGUCCUUCUUACACUGAGGACACCAGAACUGUACGCAAUACUCCAAGUGAGGUCUCACAAGAGCAGAGUAGAGGGGCAGGAAAACCUCCUUCGACCUGCUGGUCACACUUCUUUUGAUGCAGCCUUUUGAUGCAAGGGGAU